AUGAACCGACAGGCGGCUCGAUCUGGGGCGGAUGGAUUGGCCUGCAGCAGAGGAGCAGGCUGCAGCGACGGGCCGGUCUGCAGUGACAGAGCCGCGACCUGGAGUUGUAGAUGUCCGGACACGAAACAACAGCAGCAACGACGAGGCCGGCGACCGGCAGCCGCGGAAGGCAACAGCACCGCUGACGAGGCCGGCGGCCGGCAGCCGCGAAGGAAGACAAAUGGCCGGCGGCGAUCUUGGAGGAAACAAGCGGCCAUCGGCUCAAUCGAUCGGCACGAAAUCCGAUAUAGAAUCCAACACAGCGAUGGAUCAGCUAGCUAG
This 321-nucleotide ribosomal RNA is filed under the name Triticum aestivum (bread wheat). RNAcentral describes it as "partial small subunit ribosomal RNA". Lineage: Eukaryota; Viridiplantae; Streptophyta; Magnoliopsida; Poales; Poaceae. The record is from RNAcentral.